RNAcentral lists this unclassified non-coding RNA (376 nucleotides) under uncultured Pseudomonadota bacterium. RNAcentral's name for it is "uncultured proteobacterium contains 16S-23S intergenic spacer region". Lineage: Bacteria; Pseudomonadati; Pseudomonadota. The record is from RNAcentral.
UCCGGUUUGUCACCGGCGGUCCCCUUAGAGUUCCCAACUGAAUGCUGGCAACUAAGGGCAAGGGUUGCGCUCGUUGCGGGACUUAACCCAACACCUCACGGCACGAGCUGACGACAGCCAUGCAGCACCUGAACCGGCAGUCCCCGAAGGGAAAAUCCUAUCUCUAGGACAGUCCGCCGUUGUCUAGCCCAGGUAAGGUUCUUCGCGUUGCGUCGAAUUAAGCCACAUACUCCACCGCUUGUGCAGGCCCCCGUCAAUUUCUUUGAGUUUUAACCUUGCGGCCGUACUCCCCAGGCGGUCAACUUCACGCGUUAGCUUCGUUACCAAGGAAUUGCUUCCCCGACAACCAGUUGACAUAGUUUAGGGCGUGGACUAC